GGAUAUAGCUCAGUGGUAGAGCAUGUGCUUAGCGUGCACAGGUUCCUGGGUUCAAUCCCAAAUACCUCCA
Molecule: transfer RNA, 70 nt
Filed under: Camelus bactrianus (Bactrian camel)
Lineage: Eukaryota; Metazoa; Chordata; Mammalia; Artiodactyla; Camelidae
Also listed under: 2 other names
Rfam family: tRNA
About the family: Transfer RNA (tRNA) molecules are approximately 80 nucleotides in length. Their secondary structure includes four short double-helical elements and three loops (D, anti-codon, and T loops). Further hydrogen bonds mediate the characteristic L-shaped molecular structure. tRNAs have two regions of fundamental functional importance: the anti-codon, which is responsible for specific mRNA codon recognition, and the 3' end, to which the tRNAs corresponding amino acid is attached (by aminoacyl-tRNA synthetases). tRNAs cope with the degeneracy of the genetic code in two manners: having more than one tRNA (with a specific anti-codon) for a particular amino acid; and 'wobble' base-pairing, i.e. permitting non-standard base-pairing at the 3rd anti-codon position.
Source: Rfam by way of RNAcentral